CCUACGGGGGGCUGCAGUAGGGAAUCUUCCACAAUGGACGAAAGUCUGAUGGAGCAACGCCGCGUGAGUGAAGAAGGUUUUCGGAUCGUAAAACUCUGUUGUAAGGGAAGAACAAGUACAGUAGUAACUGGCUGUACCUUGACGGUACCUUAUUAGAAAGCCACGGCUAACUACGUGCCAGCAGCCGCGGUAAUACGUAGGUGGCAAGCGUUGUCCGGAAUUAUUGGGCGUAAAGCGCGCGCAGGCGGUCCUUUAAGUCUGAUGUGAAAUCACGUGGCUCAACCACGUGCGGUCAUUGGAAACUGGAGGACUUGAGUGCAGAAGAGGAAAGUGGAAUUCCAAGUGUAGCGGUGAAAUGCGUAGAGAUUUGGAGGAACACCAGUGGCGAAGGCGACUUUCUGGUCUGUAACUGACGCUGAGGCGCGAAAGCGUGGGGAGCAAACAGGAUUAGAUACCCUUGUAGUC
RNAcentral lists this ribosomal RNA (465 nucleotides) under uncultured Caryophanaceae bacterium. RNAcentral's name for it is "bacterial SSU rRNA". It matches the Rfam family "Bacterial small subunit ribosomal RNA", at positions 338 to 795 of the family's 1533-position model. The record is from RNAcentral. Lineage: Bacteria; Bacillati; Bacillota; Bacilli; Caryophanales; Caryophanaceae.